AGAUUCUCUCCUCCAUUUAUAGAUAUAAUAAGCUCACUUGUCUUGUCACCUUCCUCUUGUUUAAUAUUUAUUUAUUUAAUGAAUGAAAGGAAAUUUGAUAUCGGUUAUUUCAAAUUUUAUCCCUUGAAAAUAAUAAUAAACAAAUAAACGACUUGGGUAAUUUCUCCAAUUUAGUUCUUGUCCCCCCCCCCCCCCCUCCCAAAUUAAGGUUUUGGGCCACCAUUGCACCAACACCCGUUCACUCGUCCAUACAUUUUAGGUAAAUCAUACGAACUUCAUUACUGUGUUAUUAUUUUUGUGUGAAGAAUAAGUUACAGCUGAGCACCGGAUAAGUUUAACUUCAAAUUUUAUAACGUGGACGGUGGGGCCGUUCACUCGUCCAUACAUUUUAGGUAAAUCAUACGAACCUCAUUACUGUGUUAUUAUUCUUGUGUGAAGAAUAAGUUACAGCUGAGCACCGGAUAAGUUUAACUUCAAACUUUAUAACGUGGACGGUGGGGUAGCAUUUUGAAAAUACUUUAAGGCAAAUAUUAUGUUACGUUAAAUGUAACAUACAUACUCUACAAUAACCACACAAAUGAUAUAAUCCAUCAUUUAUGUGAUUGUUAUGAAAUGUUUAUGUUACGUUUAAUGUAACAUUGGGCUCCCGUGCUUUAAAUGGCUGUUGUAAACGAAUUUGUUACCUGAUUCUGUAUUGAUUGAGGCAUUAAAAGAUGGUCGUACUGUCAGUAUUUGGCAGCCAAGUUAAGAAAAAAUGAAAUAAGAUUUGGUAAGAGGUAAGGGCAUUAGAGAUAAAAAUUUCACGAAUUAAAAGGUGUAUAUGAAGGACACCAAGUCAAACUUCAGGGGCAAUAAUGAAAAUACACUUCAAACUUUGAGCCCACGCCCGCGAUCACGGCUAUAAUUUGCAUGCCUCAACAGGGUGACCAGUGACACGUGGUGCAUUACCGUACGGCCUGGAGUACCGGUACCUAUUCUUUAUCAUUUUUCGUUCUGGGAGCCACAUUGACUUCAUGCAUGGGCGAUGGGUUUAGUUAAACGUUUAGUGGCUCAAAAAUUCAUGUUCUGAUUCAGUGGCUGUGAUUCAUCGCUAUCCAUCUGCUGCCAUCAGUUUUGUGCAUACUAUUUCUAUCCAAUCGUUUGACUGAAUUGGCUCCAACAUAGAUCUGUACAUGAUGUGAGUUCCAUCCUCUUGCUGGCCCCUUUUUAGCUAAAAAAAAAGUCAAUUUUAUAAUUAUUUAAUGAUUUUCCUAAGUUAUAAUUAUUAGAACUUACAAUUAAGUGUAAAA
This 1289-nucleotide long non-coding RNA is filed under the name Citrus x clementina. Its description in RNAcentral is "Citrus clementina (C. clementina) long non-coding RNA (CCLE_LNC003058)". The record is from RNAcentral. Lineage: Eukaryota; Viridiplantae; Streptophyta; Magnoliopsida; Sapindales; Rutaceae.